RNAcentral lists this transfer-messenger RNA (365 nucleotides) under Desulfopila aestuarii. RNAcentral describes it as "Standard tmRNA". It matches the Rfam family "transfer-messenger RNA". Rfam says of the family: Bacterial tmRNA, also known as 10Sa RNA or SsrA, is named for its dual tRNA and mRNA-like properties. The record is from RNAcentral. Lineage: Bacteria; Pseudomonadati; Thermodesulfobacteriota; Desulfobulbia; Desulfobulbales; Desulfocapsaceae. RNAcentral also lists the same sequence under 1 other name.
GGGGACGAAACGGAUUCGACGGGGAUGUGUAAGCUCGUCGUUGCAUGCCGAGCUUCUAUUUGCUCGUAAAACUGAUAGAAAAACAAUUAUAAUCGCCGACGAUUAUAACUACGCAGUAGCAGCUUAAUAACCUGCUCAUUGCCGUUCCCCCAGUCUUCGCCCGUAAGACUGGACCGGAGCGCCGACCUAACGGGCUGGCUUCGUUGAUGGUGUCUGUACUUCAACUGGCGAGAACUUCAUAGACUAGCAUUGGAUCGCCACGUUUCCGCGGCAAGUCCAACGCGAAACUUAAGCCGGAAACUAAGCAUGUAGAUACGAGAGGGGAGCAUUUGCGGACGCGGGUUCGACUCCCGCCGUCUCCACCA